RNAcentral lists this ribosomal RNA (212 nucleotides) under Vibrio parahaemolyticus. RNAcentral's name for it is "partial 16S ribosomal RNA". It matches the Rfam family "Bacterial small subunit ribosomal RNA", at positions 589 to 800 of the family's 1533-position model. The record is from RNAcentral. Lineage: Bacteria; Pseudomonadati; Pseudomonadota; Gammaproteobacteria; Vibrionales; Vibrionaceae.
CAGAUGUGAAAGCCCGGGGCUCAACCUCGGAAUUGCAUUUGAAACUGGCAGACUAGAGUACUGUAGAGGGGGGUAGAAUUUCAGGUGUAGCGGUGAAAUGCGUAGAGAUCUGAAGGAAUACCGGUGGCGAAGGCGGCCCCCUGGACAGAUACUGACACUCAGAUGCGAAAGCGUGGGGAGCAAACAGGAUUAGAUACCCUGGUAGUCCACGC